Molecule: long non-coding RNA, 519 nt
Organism: Haliotis rufescens (red abalone)
Lineage: Eukaryota; Metazoa; Mollusca; Gastropoda; Lepetellida; Haliotidae
Exons: 3
Source: RefSeq, a predicted model, not a curated record
GUGACUCGGCCGCUCACCACAUCUACCUGAUCCGACCUGAACAUGGGCAACACGGUUGAAUAUCAAAAGAAAUCGUCAGCGCAUGCUCCAACUGUUUUGCUUCAAGUGCAGGAAGUCAACAAGAGGACGCUGGGAAAGCUGAUCAUCAAGACUGUCGGCCACGAAGGUACAGAGACAGACGAGAAGGGGACGUAUCUACGGCGACAGAUCCAAGUCUGAAUCUCUUACCUGGAACAUUACACGCCUGCAGUGUGGCGGGAUGCUACAGUGACGUUCAUUGGCUUACAGGGUCAUGAAUAUGUGGUAUCCUCUGGCCGCGGACGCUACAGAUUCAUGGUCCACCUUGAUGCUCGAGACGAAAUAACCUUUUCAAAAAUGAAAUAAGAAAAUGCUAUAAUGAGACUGCAACUAGAGCAUAACUACACCGUUACAUGUGCACAUGUGUAUGCCAGUCUCCUUUCGAAACGUGUGUGGCGGUCGGGUAGUCUAGUGGUUAAAGCGUUCGCUCGUCACGCCGAA